RNAcentral lists this ribosomal RNA (447 nucleotides) under uncultured bacterium. RNAcentral describes it as "bacterial SSU rRNA". It matches the Rfam family "Bacterial small subunit ribosomal RNA", at positions 330 to 793 of the family's 1533-position model. The record is from RNAcentral.
CCCAGACUCCUACGGGAGGCAGCAGUGGGGAAUAUUGCACAAUGGGGGAAACCCUGAUGCAGCAACGCCGCGUGAGUGAAGAAGUAUUUCGGUAUGUAAAGCUCUAUCAGCAGGGAAGAAGAAGGACGGUACCUGACUAAGAAGCCCCGGCUAACUACGUGCCAGCAGCCGCGGUAAUACGUAGGGGGCGAGCGUUAUCCGGAUUUACUGGGUGUAAAGGGAGCGUAGACGGUUAAUCAAGUCUGAAGUGAAAGCCCGCGGCUCAACUGCGGAACGGCUUUGGAAACUGAGUAACUGGAGUGCUGGAGGGGCAGGCGGAAUUCCUGGUGUAGCGGUGAAAUGCGUAGAUAUCAGGAGGAACACCGGUGGCGAAGGCGGCCUGCUGGACAGUAACUGACGUUGAGGCUCGAAAGCGUGGGGAGCAAACAGGAUUAGAUACCCUCGUAA